This 133-nucleotide ribosomal RNA is filed under the name uncultured bacterium. RNAcentral describes it as "partial 16S ribosomal RNA". The record is from RNAcentral.
GGUACCGUCAAAUGCAAUGGGUAUUGGCCAUCGCACAUUUCUUCCCUAUUGACAGAGCUUUACAACCCUAAGGCCUUCAUCACUCACGCGGCGUCGCUGCAUCAGGGUUUCCCCCAUUGUGCAAAAUUCCUCA